UGGCAGUAACUAGCGUCACUUCGUAUAACCCCAGUGAUAUGGAUUGGGGGUCUCUACCAGGAACCAAUAAAUCCUGAUUACGAAGAGUUUAGUGCUUUAG
Colwellia psychrerythraea 34H is the source of this 100-nucleotide non-coding RNA. The record is from Rfam. Lineage: Bacteria; Pseudomonadati; Pseudomonadota; Gammaproteobacteria; Alteromonadales; Colwelliaceae.